UGGGGAAUAUUGGACAAUGGGCGAAAGCCUGAUCCAGCCAUGCCGCGUGUGUGAAGAAGGUCUUCGGAUUGUAAAGCACUUUAAGUUGGGAGGAAGGGCAGUAAAUUAAUACUUUGCUGUUUUGACGUUACCGACAGAAUAAGCACCGGCUAACUCUGUGCCAGCAGCCGCGGUAAUACAGAGGGUGCAAGCGUUAAUCGGAAUUACUGGGCGUAAAGCGCGCGUAGGUGGUUCGUUAAGUUGGAUGUGAAAUCCCCGGGCUCAACCUGGGAACUGCAUUCAAAACUGACGAGCUAGAGUAUGGUAGAGGGUGGUGGAAUUUCCUGUGUAGCGGUGAAAUGCGUAGAUAUAGGAAGGAACACCAGUGGCGAAGGCGACCACCUGGACUGAUACUGACACUGAGGUGCGAAAGCGUGGGGAGCAAACAGGAUU
Molecule: ribosomal RNA, 432 nt
Filed under: uncultured bacterium
Lineage: Bacteria
Description: partial 16S ribosomal RNA
Rfam family: Bacterial small subunit ribosomal RNA
Source: RNAcentral